UCACUCUACGGGAGGCAGCAGUGGGGAAUAUUGCACAAUGGGCGCAAGCCUGAUGCAGCCAUGCCGCGUGUAUGAAGAAGGCCUUCGGGUUGUAAAGUACUUUCAGCAGUGAGGAAGGCGGGUGCGUUAAUAGCGUAUUCGUUUGACGUUAGCUGCAGAAGAAGCACCGGCUAACUCCGUGCCAGCAGCCGCGGUAAUACGGAGGGUGCGAGCGUUAAUCGGAAUUACUGGGCGUAAAGCGCAUGCAGGUGGUUUGUUAAGUCAGAUGUGAAAGCCCGGGGCUCAACCUCGGAAUUGCAUUUGAAACUGGCAGACUAGAGUACUGUAGAGGGGGUAGAAUUUCAGGUGUAGCGGUGAAAAUGCGUAGAGAUCUGAAGGAAUACCGGUGGCGAAGGCGGCCCCCUGGACAGAUACUGACACUCAGAUGCGAAAGCGUGGGGAGCAAACAGGAUUAGAUACCCUGGUAG
This 467-nucleotide ribosomal RNA is filed under the name uncultured bacterium. Its description in RNAcentral is "bacterial SSU rRNA". It matches the Rfam family "Bacterial small subunit ribosomal RNA", at positions 333 to 793 of the family's 1533-position model. The record is from RNAcentral.